UUACCUCCCAAUCAAAGAAUGUAAAAAAUAACAUAGACAUUUCAGCACAUCAAACAAUUAUGAGUUGCAGUUUUAAAAAAAUACAUGAUGGAUCAUUGCAUACAGCUGCGAUCACAAAGGUACACUAUGUUUUCAAAAAAAAUGUAGACUACUACUCUUACUGUCUAUAACUAAUUCAAUUAUGAGUCGAUAAGAAAGCAACCAUCCUUGUGGAUACCUUUAUGUGCUUCGAGUGAUCCUGUGAGCAUCUGCUAAUACUCCUUAACAUGAACCUCAGUUGGCAUAGUCAUCGUCUCUGUCUUGCUGGAAUCAAAUCCUCUACCCAAAAGCUACAAACUGAAAUAAUGGCAAUAGCGAAUCCAUCUUGAUGGUCUCACAACCUUUCACCCACCGAUAUGCACAUGCAUGGCAUUCCAGUAACCAAGCAAACUCAACCACACCAUCCAUAUAAUAUCCAUCUUCGAAAAAUUCACAGCACACUAAAACCUAGUUGAUUUAUACUCAUUAACUUAACGGGAUAUGAGCAUUAGGUUCUAGUAGAGUAAAUAUGCUAUUGAUGAAUGCAGUAAUUAUGCAGUUCGUAUCAGGGCAACACUAUUUCGGCAAAACAUAAGUUUGUGGCCGACUUGCCACCUCGCACCGAGUUCCUUGUAGGCUUGUAGCAAAAGUUUUUACAGCAUCUCUCUUAGCAACACACAGCUGCUUGAAGAUCUACUCCAAUGGGUGAGCUAGCUGACAAUGUUGAAUUAAUAACAGGUCUAAAUAUGUUUAUAAGAUAGUUGUUGCUAACUAUAUAUUUUCUAUAGUAGGAUGCCAAUAUGAGCAUUCAUUCACAUAUUGCAGGGUAAGUAUAUGGGUCUGGAAAACAUAAGAUGAUAUUCUAUUUCAAUAUUAUACAUUUGCAAGAAUAUAUAGUAUGCAUUGGCAUCCUCUUGGGCAUGCAUGGCUACAUGUGCAUCCGUGUUGCUAUAAGGUAUACUACCUUUCAGUUUUGCUUUUCAAUAACCCAGCAAGAGCAGGCAGAAGGCUUGAGAAAAUAGCUAGGUUGAAAAUACAAAGUUUCCCCUUGAGAGUACUAAAAACAUCAUCUUGAACAUGUUCGAAUUAAACAAUUACACACAACAAUUCAUGUUUUUUGUGGAACUGAAGCGACAAAUUGAGACAAUCAAAAUCUUACUUAAUGAACAAGCCGAGCAAGAAGGAUACCUCAGGGGAAACCACUUGUGUACUCUCAAGCCGAGCAAGGAGGAGACCUCAGGGGCUACCACAUGUGUACUCUGAACGGGCAAUAAUGACCAUCUUCAUUACAUAUCACAUCCAGCAUACCCUCAAUUCGACUAAUAUAGAUUACUUGUUUAAUCUGCAAAAAGAAAAGCUAACAGGGAUAAGUCACAUGCAUGUACACUGAUUACGGGCGAUUAAACAAAGCAAGCACUGUAAUCCCCUCUUCCUCCUGAUCUAUUUCCCUCCCACUUCCCCUCUUCUUUCCCAAACCAGUGGCUACAUGUGGAUGGAAAUAUGCAACUCUUUGCUCUCUUUUGCCAUCUUUGCAUUCCUUAUUCAUGUUUGGACAACUAUCUUUUAAUUUAUCAUGUGAGUAUCCUUUCUUCGCAGAUGAAGAUAUCAUAUAUUGUUAUAUUGUUAUCCAAUAUGGUUUAAUCUGCAAAAAGAAAAGCUAACAGGGGCAAGUCACAUGCAUGUACACUGAUUACAAGCGACUGAACCAAGCAAGCACUGUAAACAAAUAAUCUGCACUAUAAACCUUCUGGUCCGAGUUUCAAGGUCACCACAAAGCAAGCACUGUAAACAAAUAAUCUACACUGAUUGCACAGAUGUCUCCUUCAUGGAUUUUUGCAAGGCGGCGGAACUCGGACCAGUUGGUUGUUACGGUGGCUCUCUUGUUGGUUCCUAGCAUGAUGCAACAAUUGGCGUGUAGAUCACUGUUUGCAAGCCUGAGUGGCUCCGACGGUGAUCACAAUACGUAAAUAAGCACUUAUUCGGCUUUUGCGCUAUCAUCACGUGGUUAUGUAACACCAAUCAUGAUUGGUGCAAAAAUAGUAAAUACACUUUCGAUUAGUAUCAUGGAUAGUAAACAGAUAUUGCAAACGAGGUAUAGCAUGCGCAAAUAUGGAAUUUAAUUUACAUGGUAGAACAGGGCCCUCUCUGCCAUUUAACUCAAAAGUGCUUAUGUUUAAUUAUGAUUUCAGUUUAGCGUGGCUUAAACUCCUCCCAGUUGACUCAUUCAAUAUUCAGCAUGGGUGAUCACGGGUGAUCAAAAGGACUAAAUUAAAUUAAACCCUACACUGGAAACACGUGUAUCACCCGUACAUGGUAGAAAAUGUCCUCAUCGUCAUUUACCUAAAAUUAGAUUAUGUCGACUUGUGGUUUCACCAUUUCAGUUCAAAAUAGCAUACUCUCGUAGGAGAUCAAAAUUGAAUGGAACUCUAUAUUGGAAAAACAUCAAUAAAAGAGAGCCCGUCUAGAGCAAGUACACAAAGAAACUAUUACCAAUUUAGUACUUAGAACUUCCUCAAUAUAAUUUAUACUCAAAGAAGAAGGUACCGUUAAUAGUUCAAUGUGCAACAAAGAAAUGUAAUGAUGUCAUGAACAAUGUAGUUUUCUGUAUGUAUACAGAACUAAGAAAUUCAGAUUCAUACCUUCUACCAUUUUGUCAGCACGGUUGGCUCCUCGAGCAAAAGAAAUGGAUAACAGACAUGAUAAAAGAGGAACUUGUGCUUCUCGCAGCAUAAUAUAGCAUUAUUCUGGAAGCUUUGUGAGCAUUCUUUCUAGCGGUAGUAAGCGUACGAACUUGGCGCCAAACAUAAGACAUGCACAC
Molecule: long non-coding RNA, 2836 nt
Filed under: Triticum aestivum (bread wheat)
Lineage: Eukaryota; Viridiplantae; Streptophyta; Magnoliopsida; Poales; Poaceae
Description: long non-coding RNA (TAES_LNC022758)
Source: RNAcentral